This 507-nucleotide ribosomal RNA is filed under the name Nakaseomyces glabratus. RNAcentral describes it as "LSU rRNA". It matches the Rfam family "Eukaryotic large subunit ribosomal RNA", at positions 61 to 570 of the family's 3401-position model. The record is from RNAcentral. Lineage: Eukaryota; Fungi; Ascomycota; Saccharomycetes; Saccharomycetales; Saccharomycetaceae.
GAAACCAACUGGGAUUGCCUUAGUAACGGCGAGUGAAGCGGCAAAAGCUCAAAUUUGAAAUCUGGUACCUUUGGUGCCCGAGUUGUAAUUUGGAGAGUACCACUUUGGGACUGUACUUUGCCUAUGUUCCUUGGAACAGGACGUCAUGGAGGGUGAGAAUCCCGUGUGGCGAGGGUGUCAGUUCUUUGUAAAGGGUGCUCGAAGAGUCGAGUUGUUUGGGAAUGCAGCUCUAAGUGGGUGGUAAAUUCCAUCUAAAGCUAAAUACAGGCGAGAGACCGAUAGCGAACAAGUACAGUGAUGGAAAGAUGAAAAGAACUUUGAAAAGAGAGUGAAAAAGUACGUGAAAUUGUUGAAAGGGAAGGGCAUUUGAUCAGACAUGGUGUUUUGCGCCCCUUGCCUCUCGUGGGCUUGGGACUCUCGCAGCUCACUGGGCCAGCAUCGGUUUUGGCGGCCGGAAAAAACCUAGGGAAUGUGGCUCUGCGCCUCGGUGUAGAGUGUUAUAGCCCU